AAGUCGUAACAAGGUUUCCGUAGGUGAACCUGCGGAAGGAUCAUUACCAAAACGAUAGAAGGAUGGUCGCUCAAGCACUGUCGUUGCCCACGACGCCGCGGGGCCCAUCCAACUAUUGCACCCUUUGUCUUUGCGUACUGUAUGUUUCCUCGGUGGGCUCGCCCGCCGAUAGGACAUUUAUAAACUCUUUGUAAUUGCAAUCAGCGUCAGAAACAACUAUAAUAGUUACAACUUUCAACAACGGAUCUCUUGGUUCUG
Molecule: unclassified non-coding RNA, 258 nt
Filed under: Setophaeosphaeria badalingensis
Lineage: Eukaryota; Fungi; Ascomycota; Dothideomycetes; Pleosporales; Phaeosphaeriaceae
Description: partial internal transcribed spacer region
Rfam family: Eukaryotic small subunit ribosomal RNA (bases 1-46)
Source: RNAcentral